GGGAGGCAGCAGUGGGGAAUCUUCCGCAAUGGACGAAAGUCUGACGGAGCAACGCCGCGUGAGUGAUGAAGGCCUUCGGGUCGUAAAGCUCUGUUAUUAGGGACGAAUGUACCUUAUGUGAACAAUGUGAGGUAGUGACGGUACCUAAGGAGGAAGCCACGGCUAACUACGUGCCAGCAGCCGCGGUAAUACGUAGGUGGCAAGCGUUGUCCGGAAUUAUUGGGCGUAAAGCGCGCGUAGGUGGGAUCAUAAGUCUUAUGUAAAAGUGCGGGGCUCAACCCCGUAAAGCGUGAGAAACUGUGAUUCUUGAGUGCAGGAGAGGAAAGCGGAAUUCCCAGUGUAGCGGUGAAAUGCGUAGAUAUUGGGAGGAACACCAGUGGCGAAGGCGGCUUUCUGGACUGUGUCUGACACUGAGGCGCGAAAGCCAGGGUAGUGAACGGGAUUAGAUACCCCGGUAGUCA
This 461-nucleotide ribosomal RNA is filed under the name uncultured bacterium. Its description in RNAcentral is "bacterial SSU rRNA". It matches the Rfam family "Bacterial small subunit ribosomal RNA", at positions 343 to 796 of the family's 1533-position model. The record is from RNAcentral.